This 468-nucleotide ribosomal RNA is filed under the name uncultured bacterium. RNAcentral describes it as "bacterial SSU rRNA". It matches the Rfam family "Bacterial small subunit ribosomal RNA", at positions 28 to 507 of the family's 1533-position model. The record is from RNAcentral.
GAUGAACGCUGGCGGCGUGCUUAACACAUGCAAGUCGAACGGAGUUGUUUGAAAGCUUGCUUUUGAAUAACUUAGUGGCGGACGGGUGAGUAACGCGUGGGUGACCUGCCUUAUACUGGGGGAUAACACUUAGAAAUAGGUGCUAAUACCGCAUAAGCGCACAGUUCUGCAUGGAACAGUGUGAAAAACUCCGGUGGUAUAAGAUGGACCCGCGUCUGAUUAGCUGGUUGGUGAGGUAACGGCUCACCAAGGCGACGAUCAGUAGCCGGCCUGAGAGGGUGAACGGCCACAUUGGGACUGAGACACGGCCCAAACUCCUACGGGAGGCAGCAGUGGGGAAUAUUGCACAAUGGGGGAAACCCUGAUGCAGUGACGCCGCGUGAGUGAAGAAGUAUUUCGGUAUGUAAAGCUCUAUCAGCAGGGAAGAAAAUGACGGUACCUGACUAAGAAGCCCCGGCUAACUACGUG